UACGUAGGUGGCAAGCGUUGUCCGGAUUUACUGGGCGUAAAGCGUGCGCAGGCGGUUGUGCAAGACAGAUGUGAAAUCCCCGGGCUUAACCUGGGAACUGCAUUUGUGACUGCACGGCUGGAGUGCGGCAGAGGGGGAUGGAAUUCCGCGUGUAGCAGUGAAAUGCGUAGAUAUGUGGAGGAACACCGAUGGCGAAGGCAACCCCCUGGGUUAACACUGACGCUCAUGCACGAAAGCGUGGGGAGCAAACAGG
This 253-nucleotide ribosomal RNA is filed under the name uncultured bacterium. Its description in RNAcentral is "partial 16S ribosomal RNA". It matches the Rfam family "Bacterial small subunit ribosomal RNA", at positions 524 to 776 of the family's 1533-position model. The record is from RNAcentral.